Non-coding RNA from Macaca mulatta (Rhesus monkey), 2106 nucleotides. NCBI's taxonomy places the organism in Eukaryota, Metazoa, Chordata, Mammalia, Primates, Cercopithecidae. The record is from RefSeq and is a predicted model, not a curated record.
CUGUCACGUAUCCCCUGCUUGCUCAAAUCAAUCAUGACCUUUUCACGUGAAAUCUUUAAUGUUGUGAGCCCUUAAAAGGGACAGAAAUUGUGCACUCGGGGAGCUCGGAUUUUAAGGCAGUAGCUUGCUGAUGCUCCCAGCUGAAUAAAGCCCUUCCUUCUACAACUCAGUGUCUGAGAGGUUUUGUCUGCGGCUUGUCCUGCUACAUUUCUUGGUUCCCUGACCGGGAAGCGAGGCAACUGACGGACAGCCGAGGCAGCCUCUUAGACGGCUUAGGCCUGCCCUGUGGAGCAUCCCUGCGGGGGACUCUGGCCAGCCUGAGUGACGCAAUCCAAAGACCGCUCCUGAGUAGGCAAUUGUCCCGGUGGAACACCUCAUCAGAGCAGCGCGUAGCAGGCCCCCACAGAGGAUUAACACAGUGGCUGAACACCGGGAAGGAACUGGCACUUGGAGUCCGGUCAUCUGAAACUUGGCAGUUUAGCAUCAUGGAUGGAUAACAUGGCUGCUGACUGUGGCUGAUCUGGCUUGAGACCUGGCUCUGGUACAGACCUAUCAUCUCAAAUGGACAGCUCCAGCUGCAUCUGAUGUCACUGCUAUGGCCGUGAAGAAUGAAAACCAAAGGACAACUGGCUACUUAAGGAAUUAAGCUGACUAAAAUGAAAACCAUUCACCACAGCAGUUCCAGUACUCUGGCUGAGACUCUGUUUUUCUACAUAUAGCCCACACAUUCUGACCAAACUCAAAUCUACGCAAUUUCAAACUUAGAAAACUUUAACUGCUGCCCCACUGAAGCCAUUUUCAAGCUGGAAUCAUGUUUAAUAAACUACUCCAUCUAUUUCACCAUAUAUAUAUUUUAAAAUAAUUAAUUUAGCCUCUACUCAUUCAGAUCUAUUAAGUUUCACCACAGUCUAUCAUGGUUACCUUAUAAAAUCCUCUUAAACAUAACCAACAGAUAAAUCAAAUAAGAAUUUUUGGAAAUGUUUAACCUUAAGGACAAUAUUAUUUUAAGAAUCUAGGUCAAGGGUCUCCCAUCCCCGGGCUGCGGACCAGUAUCAGUCGGCCUGUUAGGAACCGGGCCUCACAGCAGGAGGUGAGUGGUGAGCUAGUGAGCAAUACCGCCUGAGCUCCGCCUCCUGUCAGAUCAGCAGUGGCAUUAGAUUCUCGUAGGAGCAUGAACCCUAUUAUGAACUGCACAUGCGAAGGAUCGAGGUUGCAUGCUUCUCAUGAGAAUCUAACUAAUGCCUGAUGAUCUAAGGUGAAACAGUUUCAUCCCAAAACCAACCAUCACCAUCACCACACCCGCUCCCCAGGUCUGUGGAAAAACUGUCUUCCAUGAAACCUGUCCCUGGGGCCAAAAAGGUUGGGGACCACUGACCUAAGUCUAAUGUAUAGAAUGGCACAGAUUACAAAUGAGUCUUACAGAUUUGUGAAACAGUCACUGACUUUCAUUUAAUUGUACCCCUCGCUUUGAUUUUUCAUGAACUCAAAUGAGACAUCCUAAUCCUCAAUCUAACCAGUUAAGCUGUACUAUACAGGUUUUGUGCAGGUCCUUCUUAAACACACCCUAGCAGACGCCCCAGCUCCAAAAGACAAAUUGGACCUCAGUGACUCCCACAGGCAGUGACUGAGGAGGCAACUUCUGCAUUGUCCACAGACUAUGCUCAUUUUCCUGAGACUAAGGCACUGCUCCUUACACAGACUCAGAAAACUCUUCAGCCCUAGGAGAUGCCACCUCCGACCCAAGGGAAGCGAAUGCCUUCUGAAGAACCAGGCUCCUUAAAACCCCUGGCCAGUUUCCCAGACACAUUUCAGUUGUAAACUCAUUAUGAGAAAUAUUUAAUUACGGAAUCUGCAAACCAGGGGAGCUUAUUUGAAAUACAUUAACUAAAUAACUCUUUUUCAGAUCUUUCAAGAUCACAGUCUGUCUCAGAGAUUAUUUCCCACAUUACUUCUCCUGAUUCAGUACAUGUGUUUUUCUCUUGAAUAACUGCCUCUGCUAUAUUUCUCCUUCCUUUAGCCUAAGUCAACCUUUCCAUUUCUAAAGCCAACAGCUUCUGAGUAACCAGGCUAUCCUCCCAUUAAAUAUGCAUGCAAGAGCUUGACAAA